This 8227-nucleotide long non-coding RNA is filed under the name Lactuca sativa (garden lettuce). RNAcentral describes it as "long non-coding RNA (LSAT_LNC004829)". The record is from RNAcentral. Lineage: Eukaryota; Viridiplantae; Streptophyta; Magnoliopsida; Asterales; Asteraceae.
CCUUGUGACCCAAGUAGUGCUAUUUUCGUUUCCUGAGAGAGACGUAAGAGGUGUUGAGAUUUCAGUUUCCGAGUUGGAGGUGAGCCCUAUGGGAUCGCAUUGAUGAUGAUCUUUAAUCAGAGUAGCUGACAGUAGAUCUAUCGCGAGGGAAUGAUAUAGCAUGAGCAGGUUGUCAGUGGGGACUGAGAUGGUAAAUGUUGGAAUAGUGUCUAAGGCUGCAACUAUAUUAGGCAAGUAUUUGACCCGAUUGUGUACGGUCCUUUUGGUUUGCCUUCACCAUAGCAACUUGACAGGAUGAUUUGUAAUGAGAGAAGAAAUAUUAUUUAUAUAUUAUGAAAAUAAUAUAAGGAAUAAUAAUAUUGUUAUUUGAUUAAUAUAAGUCAUAAAUUAAUUAGGAAUUAAUUUGGUGACUUAAAGAGAUUAAUUGAAUAAAAGGGCAUAAACUGUCAAUUGUAUGAUAGUUGUACUUUGGGCUAUAAUCCCUUAAGGAUAAGGGGUGGACGAUUUUAGGGCUUUGGAUAGACCUAGAAAUCGUCCAAGGCUUAUCAUAAGGGGGAUUGGAUUGCUUAGGGCCUAAGUUAUCCAAUUAGGGUUUAAGGGUGAAACCCUAGGAGCCUUACAAGUNUCCUCUCUCCUCUCUCUAUAAUCAUCCUCUUGCUAGUUGGUGUUUGUAAGCCAUUAGAGGAGUGACACUUGUGACUCUAAAGCUCCAAGGACAAGAAGAUUCAAGCAAGUGAUUCAAGGUAAUCAUCUAAAUCUGAUUUCUUAUGUUAUUAUACUAGAAUUGUCAUUAGAAGUCUUGGAUUCAAUGCAUGUUCAAUUAGAGAAACCUAGAUCCGAGCAUUAGGGUUUGUAUGUGCACAUAGGAAUGUUCAUAUGGCUAAAACCCAUCAGUGGUAUCAGAGCCUUGAUUAGUUUCUAUUGAAUUGAUGCAUUAGUUGCUUGUUUGUUGCUUGCAAAAUUCGAAUUUUGUCAUUCUUCCUGAUGAACUCAGUGAGUUCCAUAGUGGACUCGGCGAGUCCAUUGUGGUACUCGGCGAGUUCGAGCGUCAGAAAGAGCUAAUUUCGGGAUUUCUUGUUGUUUAUAUUUUGGAUACUUACCUUAAUCUUAAUAGGUCAAUAUAAAUCCGAUUUUAAUAUAUAUUUGAGUAUAUUCUUGACCUAAUUGAAGAUAUUUAUCAAUUAAUUGAAUAUUAAUUUCCAUAUGUAAUAAUUGAUUAAUUAUUUUAAUUAAAUUGGUAAAUUGUUUUGCAAGAAAUAAUUUAAUAAAUCAAAUAUGGAUAAUUAUGUGAUUAAAUGUUAAUUUGGAUUAUUUUUUAUUUGAUCCCCUAUGUUUUGAAAAGUUUAAAACUUGCCCUCAAGUUUUGAAAUUUAUGUUUUGUGAUUAAAAGUUUAAUUUAGACAAUUUAAAUUUCAAACCCUAGAAUUUUACAAGUUUAAAAUUCAACCCUAUACUAAUAUAAUAUUACAAGAUUAAUAUGUAUAUAUAUGUAUAACUAAAAAUGCUAGUCUUACCGUUAGUAGGCCUCAUUCACGAAGCCGGUCUAUAAGGUGGGUAUAAGGUUGCGGCCUAUAAAAUGGCGCUUAAUGGGUGUACACUCACACCCACCGCUUGCUUGAUCGGUGGAGGGUCGUUAGCCGAACGGGUAGGAUAGGGCAACCUCAUCUCCUCAUUAAAAGUAUAAUAUGAAAUACAAAGUAACUACAUGUUUUUCAAAAAUUCCCAAUCCUAGUUACUUUAGGAAAAGUGAAUUGAUGCAAUCCCAUGAAAUUACACUUUGCACCCUUGCUAAGAAGUUAGUGGAGCGUGUGUGGUUUACCGGCACACUAAUUGGUUCUAAGCAAAGGUGGCAAAGGGUGAUUCAUUGUUUAUCAUAGUUCGAUGGAGCGUGUGUGGUUUACCGGCACAUCGAAUAGGUGAUUGUUACAAUGAAGGCACCAUGUGAAUUUGCAUGGUAAUUCACACCCACUUUGUGAUCCUCGGUAUCCCAGUCACAAACGAGAGGGGCAUAUCGAGAUUUAAACAUGCCAUUGAAAAGUUUAAUGAAUCUCAUCCAAACCUAGGAAUUCUCAAUACAUUUAGAACUUAAAGUUAUGUUUUCAUGGUGGAGAAUUAGUGAAUCGUCAUUCACUUACCUUCAAAUUGUUUGCAUGUUAGAUUACGACAUCCCUUUUCUAAUAUGUAAAUAUUGUUGUUGGAUCCUAGCCCUAAUUUUUCUUAUUGGGUGAUAAUUAGGGAUUCAUAUUCUAAUCUAUCUUUGUCCUUUCUAUUUGUAGAUGUCGAACGCAAACAACGCUGCUGCUAGUUCUUUCACAUUGAUGAGCCUUUGUCAAAAGGUCACUUUCGAUGGGACGAACUUUAGCGAAUGGAUAAGAUACAUUCGCACGAUUGCUCGCUAUGAGGACAAGGAGUAUGUCCUCGAUGAGAAGCUCGAGAAAAUCAACCCUGAAAUCGCUACUCCGGCUGAAAUGACCGCUUUUGAAACUCAUGAGCGAGAUGCAACGAAGGUACAUUGCAUCAUGAUAGCCACUAUGAACUCCGAAUUCCAAAAGUCCUAUGAGGACAUGUACCCGUACGAGAUGCAUCAAGACUUAUUGGAGAGAUACCACCAAAACGCGAGACAAGAGCGUUAUGAGAUUUUCACUAACAUGAUUUCCGCUAAGAUGGGUCAUGGAGAGUCUCUUACCGUGCACCUGCAAAAGAUGCAAAGGUAUGUCGACCGUCUUCGCAAGUUGAAUGUUGACUUUGGGGAAGACUUGGCGAUCGACAUGGUGCUUCACUCUUUGCCUCCAAGCUACAAUCAAUUUAGGAUGACCUACCACAUGAACAAAGAGGAGGUCACCCUAAGCAAACUCCAAGGUCUCUUGAGGGUCGCUGAGAGCAACUUCAAGGACAAGUCUGUUGCACCAACUCCCAAUCCACCCGCUGCUCCUGUCUUGGCUAUUGGACAAGGAAAGGGAAAGAAGAGGAAGGCUUCGUCUAAGAACUAUCGCAAGGUUAAAGCCCGAGAUGGUGCCUCUUCUAGUGGGACCAAAGUUGAUCCUGCUAAGCCCUGCCCUAACCCAAAGGAGGCAGAGUGCCACCACUGCCACAAGAUAGGACAUUGGAAGAGAAGCUGCCCAGAGUACCUGCAAGCCAUCAAGGAAGGAAAGAUCAAGCCAUCUUUCGCAGGUAUAUACACAAUUAAAUCUAACGAUUCUAAUCAUGCUAUUUCUUGGGUUCUUGAUACCGGUUGUGGUUACCACAUUUGUUCUAAUGUGCAGGGACUAAGAAGAAGUAGGGAUGUGGAGCAAGGAAGGAUCAAUCUAAUCAUGGGGAACAGAAGAUCGUCGCCUGUGACCAAGAUUGGAGUGUAUUCUUUAGUGCUUAGGAAUAGUUUAUGUUUAGAUUUGAACAAUUGUUGCUAUUCGCCAGAAAUGGCUAGAAACAUCAUUUCAUUUCAUGGUUUGUUUAGACAAGGUUUUAGAUUUUCUUUUAAUAAUGAGAAUGGUUCUAUUUUGGCUUAUCUAAAUGGUGUCUUUUAUUUUGAAGCUAUACCAUGUAAUGGAAUUUAUGAAACUGUUAUGAUUGUUGAUAACUUAGGAAAUGAUGUUUUGAACAUAGAUUCUUCCAAUAGUAUGGAUAAAGCAUCCUUGUGGCAUUGUCUUCUUGGACAUGUCAACAAGAAGCGCAUAGCCUAACUCCAAAAGGAUGGAGUGUUGGAGUCAUUCGACCUUAGGGAAGAUGACACAUGCGAGUCUUGUUUACUUGGAAAGAUGACCAAGUCACCCUUCACUAGUACAUGUGAAAGGGGUGAGGGUCUAUUGGACCUAAUACAUACCGAUGUAUGUGGACCGUUUAGAUCAACCACGAAGGAUGGGAACCGCUUCUACGUGACUUUUACCGAUGACUAUAGUAGAUAUGGGUAUAUCUAUUUAAUCAAGCAAAAGUCAGAAACUUUUGAAAAGUUCAAAGAGUUCAAGAAUGAAGUGGAGAAUCAAUUGGGCAGGAAAAUCAAGAUGCUUCGAUCCGAUCGAGGAGGAGAGUACCUAAGUCUUGAAUUCCACAACUAUCUCAAAGAGUGUGGAAUAGUUUCACAAUUGACGCCACCUAGGACACCACAGCUGAAUGGUGUGGUAGAAAGGCGUAAUCGAACCUUGUUAGACAUGGUUCGCUCUAUGAUGAGUCGUGCUUCACUACCUAUCUCUUUUUGGGGGUAUGCCUUAGAGACUGCCGCCCAUAUCCUUAACCGAGUCCCUACUAAGAAGGUUGCCAAAACACCUCACGAGAUGUGGACAGGGAAAGCUCCCUCGUUAGCACAUAUCAAGGUUUGGGGUUGUGAGGAUUUCAUAAGACAAGAUACCCACGACAAGCUCGAACCUCGUAGUGAGCGAUGUAUUUUCAUUGGCUACCCACAUAAAUCCUUUGGCUAUCUCUUUUAUAGACCGAAGGACAAUGUUUUCAUCGUUGCUAGGAGAGGAGUUUUUCGAGAUCGAGAACUCAUAAGCCAAGGAGGCAGUAGGAGGCAAAUCGAACUUGAAGAGAUUCAAGAGUCAAUUGAUGAAGGAACCUCUACCGCUGGCGCUCAACCCGAGGAGGAAACUCCGGUUGAAGCGAUUGACGAGUCCUUACCUCUUAGACGUUCCGAAAGAGUUAGAGUUCAACCCCAGUUUUAUGGUUUUCAUAUUACUACCAAAGGGGACACGCAUAUUAGUGGUGGUACACUAAUAAAUCUAGAUGAACCUAAUAGCUAUAAGCAAGCCAUGGAAGGCCCGGAGCCUGCAAAAUGGAAAGAGGUAAUGGAUAGCGAGAUCCAAUCCAUGUAUGACAACCAAGUUUGGAAUUUGGUUGAUAAUGUGCCCGGACGUAAGACUGUUGGGUGCAAAUAGAUCUUCAAGAAGAAGACCGACGUGGAUGGAAAUGUACACACAUAUAAAAUCUAUUUCAUGAUUAUGAGAUUUGGAAAAUGGAUGUCAAGACCGCUUUCCUUAAUGGGAAGUUGGCUGAGGAUGUUUACAUGGCUCAGCCAGAAGGUUUUGUUGAUCCGAAGCAUCCAAAUAGAGUGUGUAAGCUUGAGAAGUCCAUUUAUGGACUUAAGCAAGCGUCUCGCAGAUGGAAUCUUUGCUUCGAUGAGAAAGUCAAAGAGUUUGGAUUUGUAUGAAGCGAAGAUGAAUCAUGUGUAUAUAUCAAAGCCAGUGGGAGUAUAGUAAGCUUCCUUGUUCUAUAUGUCGAUGACAUACUACUCAUAGGAAACAACGUCCCGACACUGCAGGAGGUCAAGUCCUGGCUCAGGAAGUGCUUCGCUAUGAAGGACCUCGGAGAGGCUUCCUAUAUUAUCAGAAUAAGGAUAAUGAGAGAACGAAGUAAGAGACUAAUAGGACUUAGUCAGAAUACUUACUUAGAUAAAGUACUAAAACGUUUUAGUAUGGAAAAGUCGAAGAAGGGAGAAUUACCAAUACAAAGUAAUGCCAAGUUGAGUAAGACUCAAAGUCCGAGUGCUGAAGCUGAAAUAGUAGAAAUGAGUCGAGUCCCAUACGCUUCCGCAGUUGGCUCAAUCAUGUACGCUAUAACUUGUACUCACCCUGAUGUAGCCUUUGCCUUGAGCAUGAUCAGUAGAUAUCAAGGGAACCCAGGCAGAGCCCAUUGGAUUGCGGUCAAGAAUAUCCUUAAGUACCUUCGGAGGAUGAAGGAAUGGUUUUUAGUCCUCGGAGGGUGUGAUGACUUGAAGGUGAGAGGGUAUAGUGACGCCAGUUUUCAGACCGACAGGGACAACUACCGUUCGCAGUCGGGCUGGGUCUUUACCCUNUUAUAUCUCCUUGCAAUGGCAUUUAUGAAAAAUUGAUGUUUGUAUGUUUCCAGCAAUAUUGGAAAUAUGAUUUUAAUUCUUUCAUUUGUGGUAGUGUCUAAAAUUACCAAAUAAGAAAAGAUUCUCAUCACCCAAGUUUCAAUUGGACAGAAAACUGGAAUCAUGCAAGUUGUAUUGUAUGAUGAAUGAGAAUUUUCAUCUUUGGAAAAUUAAGACUAAUUCCUUGUUCACAUGUAUAUGUGAGUCAAGUGAAGGACUAAGGGAUCGUUGUGCACUUGUCAAGUCCACCACAAAGAUAGAUAAGACUAUUCGUCAUGAUUUACUAAAGUUUAGUAAAUAUGGUUAUACUUACAAGUUUAAGUAUAAUUCUGAAACAUUGGAAAAGUUUCAAUGUAUGGCAGAGUUAAUGAGAAGAAUCAAAUUAGGCAGAAAGACAAAAGUUUCUCAAAUCUGAAAAGAUAGGGGAGUACUUUAGUAUCAUGUUUUAUAACCAUCUUAAUGAUUAUGAAACCAUAUCACAACUGAUCCUCUAAGGACAUUUUAGUGCAUUCUUAUGGCUAAGAAGAAGAUUCAUGAAUUGUUGAAGUGGUUAAAUCAAGAAGAUGAGUCAUACUUCGUUCCAAAACAAUUCUUAGAGUCAUACUCCAAGAUUGUAACUUGAGUUACAUAUCUUAAAGAAGGUUUAUAACACUUGUCAUAUGUAGAGCAAAAUGUUUUCUACUCUUGUACAUUUGAAAUUGGUAAGUUGUGAUGUUUUGGAUAAAACAAAGACCAACUAAGGCCAAUUGUGUGAAGUGUUUGUCUUGAUAAGAAUCCGCACUAACUCUUGAUAUUUGUUGUCAAGUAAUGGUAUUAGAAAAAUAGAAACUUAUAUGUCAAGAGGUCAGUGGAAGUCUUAAAGAUUCUGAAAGAGUUUCAAGAACUAAUCAAGAAUAAAACUUGUAGUUUAUCACUAGCAUACGACUUGAGGUUUGUAACCUAUCGUGUUGAUAUAUUCUUAUUUUUGUGCCCAUUCCAGUUAAAGUUGACUAUGAAUGACAAUUCUAUUGAUGACAUAACAACUUGGAAGACAUGGUAGGCCCUUGUGCUGCCCGGUGGAAAGAAAAUAAGGUUGAGCAAGUUCCGUCCAUAUGAGUUUGGAUUUGUUACUAAUCUUAUCUUGUGAUUAUGCUAAUGACAAAUUCACAUGGAUAAGAACACAUAUACCAUAAAAUCUAAGUGUCAUAAGGUUUCUCUCCUGUUCAUGAAAAUGAUGGUGAGGAAACGCUUUCAUUAAGUAGAUUUUAAGUAGAUAGGUAUUGUGAUAUUUGCAAUCUCAAAUUCGUUAGUGGAGCGUGUGUGGUUAACCAGCACACUAACAUGGAGUAGUGAGAAUGGCAAAAGGUCUAAAAAUUAUGAUUAUGGCAUCCCUCUUCAUAAUUGUGUUGGAAUAGUGUCUAAGGCUGCAACUAUAUUAGGCAAGUAUUUGACCCGAUUGUGCAUGGUCCUUUUGGGUUGCCUUCACCAUAGCAACUUGACAGGAUGAUUUGUAAUGAGAGAAGAAAUAUUAUUUAUAUAUUAUGAGAAUAAUAUAAGGAAUAAUAAUAUUGUUAUUUGAUUAAUAUAAGUCAUAAAUUAAUUAGGAAUUAAUUUGGUGACUUAAAGAGAUUAAUUAAAUAAAAUGGCAUAAACUGUCAAUUGUAUGAUAGUUGUACUUUGGGCUGUAAUCCCUUAAGGAUAAGGGGUGGACGGUUUUAGGGCUUUGGAUAGACCUAGAAAUCGUCCAAGGCUUAUCAUAAGGGGGAUCGGAUUGCUUAGGGCCUAAGUUAUCCAAUUAGGGUUUAAGGGAGAAACCUUAGGAGCCUUACAAGUAUAAAUAGACCCAAGGGGUCAAUGAAAUCGACACUCUUGCCUUUGGAAUAACCAUGGCCGACUUCUUUCCCUCUCCCCUCUCUCUCUAAUCAUCCUCUUGCUAAGUUGGCGUUUGUAAGCCAUUAGAGGAGUGAUAAUUAUGACUCUAAGCUCCAAGGACAAGAAGAUUCAAUCCAACAACUUAAAGUAAUCUUCUAGAUCUGUUUUUCUUAUGUUAUUACCUAGAUCUAUUGUUCAAAAGUCUUGGAUACAAUGCAUGUUCAAUUAGACAAACCUAGAUCCAAGCAUUAGGGUUUGUAUGUGCACAUAGGAAUGUUCUUACGGCUAAAACCCAUCAGCAAAGGACUAGGAUACACUCUAUUUGAGCAUGGUAGGGAAUGUGUUAGCUGCAGCAUGGAACGAUCAAGAGGAGUAUAUCAGGGCAGUGACUCUUUUUGUCUAUGAUGGGUAUCGAGAAUGGAAGUGGAUUCUCUGCUCUUAUGAUGGGAAAUGUGUUAGAGCGUGGUUGAGGAGUCGAGGAUGAAGAGAAUGAUAGUUCAUUAUUUCCAGGCUAAGAGUCAGAGUUAAUACUGGACAGUUGGGGAGGUUCGG